Molecule: long non-coding RNA, 1051 nt
Organism: Beta vulgaris subsp. vulgaris (sugar beet)
Lineage: Eukaryota; Viridiplantae; Streptophyta; Magnoliopsida; Caryophyllales; Amaranthaceae
Exons: 2
Source: RefSeq, a predicted model, not a curated record
ACUCCGUAUUUUUAAUACUAAUUUCGUACUAAUUAAGAAAAUAUAAAAGAAUUAAUAAAAAGGUAUUUUAAUUUAUUUACAAGUUAAUAGGAAUAAAUUAUUAGUAAUAUGAAGUUGUUAGGAAUUUCCGGAAUUUUUUUAAAGAGUAACCUAAUCGACCUAGGGUUACUACCUUUUGGAAGGGAGUAUAAAAAGAAAAGAAGAUGGAAUUUCAGAAAAAAACCCUAAACCCUUUCUUCUCCCUCUCUCCCAGCCGACUUUUCUCUCUCCUCACUCUCUCCUCAGCCGAUUUCUCCCUUCUUCUCUCUCUCUCGAAUUUUUCAGCCUCUCUCCCUCAGAUUUUCUUUCUUCCUCUCUCGGAUUCCCUCUCAGUCGGUGUUUGAGGGUCGCGCGGGCGUAGUCUCGAGUGGUGCGAACUCGCGCUGCGAGCGACGAGGGUGUGCCGAGGUUGCGAGCGACGAGGGUGUGCCGAGGUUGCGAGCGACGAAGGCUGCGCGAGGUUUGGUUCGAGCGGUGCGCAGGCGUGUCGAGUUGUGCGCGACGGUGUUCGAAAGGCUGCGAGAAAUCGUCGCAGGUUGGUGCGUGGUUUGUGCGAGUUCUGUCGCACGAGGGUUUCGGUUGUUGCGCGGGGAUUGUGCGAACCAGCAAGGCUGGUGUGGGUGUCCGUGGGCGACGAGCGAAACCGGGCGAGGCUACUGUGCACUCGUGUGGUGUGGUGUUUCGAUUCCGGAGGUCGGUCGCCGGAGUUCUUUUGCCGGCGAGAUUUAGCGGUCCCAAUUUCAUAAGCGGCUCGUUCUAUUAAGUCAGCGAAAAUUCUCCGUUACAAGACUAGGUGAGCUGGUGCUGCUGCAUGACUCAAGCAUAUGGGGGCUAGACUGUAGUUUGAAGUUAACUUUUGGUUUGAUCAUUAAUGAAUUUUAUAGAACAUUGUUACAUGGUUUGAGUUUGAAUAAAGAGGGGUCAUCUAUGAUUCCCGAGUUGUAAUUACAUUUUCUAUUCCGCUGCAAUUUGGUUUUGAGACAAUGAAUUUGAGUUACCGUAUUUCUAAUUA